Stylophora pistillata is the source of this 258-nucleotide long non-coding RNA. NCBI's taxonomy places the organism in Eukaryota, Metazoa, Cnidaria, Anthozoa, Scleractinia, Pocilloporidae. The record is from RefSeq and is a predicted model, not a curated record.
ACUUCAGCGGCUGAUCUCGACUUUGAAGUUUUGUUAAUUUUUCGUAAGGUCAUUUUAUCGCAAAACAAAAAACUUGCAGGCAUCAUCUUUGUCGAACAACCGUCUCCUAAAAGAACCGUGAAGGAGCGGCACGUCCGGUGAGAUGUAAACUCCCAGAGAUCAUGGCGGAGGGUUCAAGCAAAGCUUUGGAUGAUGUCUCAACACCUGCUGAAGAAAAAGAAGAACAAGAACAAGAACAAGAACAAGAACAAGAAGAAG